AAAAAAUAGUCGCAAACGACGAAAACUACGCUUUAGCAGCUUAAUAACCUGCUCUGAGCCCUCUCUCCCUAGCUUCCGCUCUUAAGACGGGGAUCAAAGAGAGGUCAAACCCAAAAGAGAUCGCGUGGAUGCCCUGCCUGGGGUUGAAGCGUUAAAUCUAAUCAGGCUAGUUUGUUAGUGGCGUGUCUGUCCGCAGCUGGCAAGCGAAUGUAAAGACUGACUAAGCAUGUAGUGCCGAGGAUGUAGGAAUUUCGGACGCGGGUUCAACUCCCGCCAGCUCCACCA
This 285-nucleotide transfer-messenger RNA is filed under the name Klebsiella pneumoniae. RNAcentral's name for it is "partial transfer-messenger RNA". It matches the Rfam family "transfer-messenger RNA", at positions 82 to 374 of the family's 374-position model. From Rfam's summary of the family: Bacterial tmRNA, also known as 10Sa RNA or SsrA, is named for its dual tRNA and mRNA-like properties. Its role is to liberate the mRNA from a stalled ribosome. RNAcentral also lists the same sequence under 1 other name. The record is from RNAcentral. Lineage: Bacteria; Pseudomonadati; Pseudomonadota; Gammaproteobacteria; Enterobacterales; Enterobacteriaceae.